CUUAGUGUGUUCAGUGGAUGCCUUGGCACCAAGGGCCGAUGAAGGACGUGGUAAUCUGCGAUAUGCCUCGGGGAGCUGGUAAACGAGUUUUGAUCCGAGGGUUUCCGAAUGGGGUAACCUGGAAGGUACCGGAGUUGUGUCCGGCUACCUGCGCUUGAAUUUAUAGGGCGUUUGGAGGUAACGCGGGGAAGUGAAACAUCUUAGUACCCGUAGGAGAAGAAAACAAUUGUGAUUUCGUGAGUAGUGGCGAGCGAAAGCGGAUGAGGCUAAACCGUGCGUGUGUGAUAGCUGACAGGUGUUGCAUGUGCGGGGUUGUGGGAGCGUUGUGGUCUGGCUGUUGACGGAUCGUUUAGUUUUGUUGGUGAAGUGGAAGCAUUCUGGAAAGUUGCGGCAUAGUAGGUGAUACCCCUGUAUGCGUGAGCUGACUUGACUUUUUUGGCGUUUUCCCAAGUAGCACGGGACUCCUGGAAUUUCGUGUGAAUCUGGCGGGACCACCCGCUAAGCCUAAAUACUUCUUGGUGACCGAUAGUGGACUAGUACCGUGAGGGAAAGGUGAAAAGUACCCCGGGAGGGGAGUGAAAUAGUGCCUGAAACUGGAUACAUACAAUCCGUCGGAGCCCCUUUUUUUGUGGGUGACGGCGUGCCUUUUGAAGAAUGAGCCUGCGAGUUAGUGGUGUGUGGCUUGGUUAACCUGUGUGGGGUAGCCGUAGCGAAAGCGAGUCCGAAUAGGGCGUUUUGGUCGCAUGUUCUAGACCCGAAGCGUUGUGAUCUAUCUAUGGCCAGGUUGAAGCGACGGUAAGACGUCGUGGAGGACCGAACCGACUUCAGUUGAAAAUGGAGCGGAUGAGCUGUGGAUAGGGGUGAAAGGCCAAUCAAACAACGUUAUAGCUGGUUCUCCCCGAAAUGCAUUUGGGUGCAGCGUUACGUGUUUCUUGUUGGAGGUAGAGCACUGGAUGGUCUAGGGGGCGUUUUGCUUACUGAAAUCAACCAAACUCCGAAUGCUGGCAAGUUAAGCGUGGCAGUGAGACUGCGGGCGAUAAGGUUCGUAGUCGAGAGGGAUACAGCCCAGAUCAUCGGUUAAGGCCCCUAAGGGGUGACUUAGUGGAAAAGGAUGUGGAGUUGCGUAGACAACCAGGAGGUUGGCUUGGAAGCAGCCAUCCUUGAAAGAGUGCGUAAUAGCUCACUGGUCAAGUGAUUUCGCGCCGACAAUUUAGCGGGGCUUAAGUCGCCCGCCGAAACUAUGGCAACCAUUUUUGGUUGGGUAGGGGAGCGUCGUGCAUGUGUUGAAGCGUUCUGGUGACGGGGCGUGGAGUUUGUGCGAGUGAGAAUGCAGGCAUGAGUAGCGAUUAGAUGGGUGAGAAUCCCGUCCGCCGAAUAUCCAAGGGUUCCAGGGUGAAGUUUGUCUUCCCUGGGUAAGUCUGGGCCUAAGGCGAGGUCGACAGGCGUAGUCGAUGGAUAACGGGUUGAUAUUCCCGUACCGGCGUGUCAACGUCCGUGUUGAGGGGACUGAUACUAAGCAUGCGAGGUGUUUUCUGCUGCUUUCGGGUGGUGGAGAGUGUUGAGUGUGUGACCUGAGGUUCUAGUAGGCAAGCUGCGGAGGGACGCAGGAAGGUAGCCAUACCGGGUGAUGGUUUUCCCGGGCUAAGAGUUCGAGCGUGCGGGAUAGUUAAAUGCGUCCUGUGUUAUGCGUGAGGCUUGAUGGGUAUAAAUUGGUGAUCCUAUACUGUCUAGAAAAUCUUCGUGAGCGAGUUGGCAUGUCCGCCAGUACCCUAAACCGACACAGGUGGAUUGGUAGAGUAUACCUAGGUGUGCGAGAGAAUCGUGGUGAAGGAACUCGGCAAAAUACCCCCGUAACUUUGGAAUAAGGGGGGCCGGAUGUGUGGCAUUAAAUUUUUUUUUAGUGUUGCGUUGAUGGCCGCAGAGUCUAUGCCCAAACGACUGUUUAUCAAAAACAUAGGUCCGUGCGAACAUGUAAGUGGAUGUAUACGGACUGACUCCUGCCCGGUGCUGGAAGGUUAAGAGGAACUGUUAGCUUUUGCGAAGCGGUGAAUUUAAGCCCCAGUAAACGGCGGUGGUAACUAUAACCAUCCUAAGGUAGCGAAAUUCCUUGUCGGGUAAGUUCCGACCUGCACGAAUGGAGUAACGAUUUGGGCGCUGUCUCCACCAUGAACUCGGCGAAAUUGCAUUACGAGUAAAGAUGCUCGUUACGCGUAGCAGGACGGAAAGACCCCGGGACCUUUACUAUAGUUUGGUAUUGGUGAUUGGAGCGGCUUGUGUAGGAUAGGUGGGAGACGUUGAAGCAGUCACGCUAGUGGUUGUGGAGUCAUUGUUGAAAUACCACUCUGGUCGUUCUGGUUUCCUAACUUGGGUCCAUUAUCUGGAUCAGGGACAGUGCCUGAUGGGUAGUUUGACUGGGGCGGUCGCCUCCUAAAGGGUAACGGAGGCGCCCAAAGGUUCCCUCAGCCUGGUUGGUAAUCAGGUGUUGAGUGUAAGUGCACAAGGGAGCUUGACUGUGAGACGGACGUGUCGAGCAGGAACGAAAGUUGGGACUAGUGAUCUUCUGGUGGCGUGUGGAAGCGCCAGAACUCAACGGAUAAAAGGUACCCCGGGGAUAACAGGCUGAUCUUGCCCGAGCGCUCAUAGCGACGGCAUGGUUUGGCACCUCGAUGUCGGCUCGUCGCAUCCUGGGGCUGGAGUUGGUCCCAAGGGUUGGGCUGUUCGCCCAUUAAAGCGGCACGCGAGCUGGGUUCAGAACGUCGUGAGACAGUUCGGUCCCUAUCCGCUACGCGCGUAGGAAUCUUGAGAAGGGCUGUCUCUAGUACGAGAGGACCGAGACGGACUAACCUCUGGUGUGCCAGUUGUUCUGCCAAGGGCACGGCUGGUUUGCUACGUUGGGGAGUGAUAACCGCUGAAAGCAUCUAAGUGGGAAGCAUGCUUCUAGAUGAGGAUUCCCGCACCCUGUAAGGGGUGGUAAAACCUCCGGUAGAUGACCGGGUUGAUAGGACAGGUGUGGAAGUGUAGUGAUACAUGGAGCUGACUGUUACUAAUAGGUUGAGGGCUUGCCAU
This 3066-nucleotide ribosomal RNA is filed under the name Vaginimicrobium propionicum. RNAcentral describes it as "bacterial LSU rRNA". It matches the Rfam family "Bacterial large subunit ribosomal RNA". The record is from RNAcentral. Lineage: Bacteria; Bacillati; Actinomycetota; Actinomycetes; Propionibacteriales; Propionibacteriaceae.